This is a long non-coding RNA of Aphis gossypii (cotton aphid), 1083 nucleotides long. RefSeq lists it as uncharacterized. The transcript has 2 exons. The record is from RefSeq and is a predicted model, not a curated record. NCBI's taxonomy places the organism in Eukaryota, Metazoa, Arthropoda, Insecta, Hemiptera, Aphididae.
AAUUCCUGGCUAAAUUUCUGAUAACUGAUAAGUAAUAUUAUGUUUCACAUUUUGAUAUCAGUUAAAAAGUGAAUAAUGUUUUAAUUAAUUAAUAAAAUUACUAUUUAUUAUUUUGGUUAGAGUAAAAACAGUAGAGCUUGUAAUAGUUUCUUAACAUGAACGAAAACAGACAAAAAAACAUUUCAAUUACAGCAUGGCUAGAAAAACGAUCUAAACCAAAUGUGAAUGAUCUAGUUCCAAUUGCUGUAUCUUCUGUAAAUCAGUGAGCUGAAUUACAAGGCACAACAGUUUUCAAGAAAAAGGAUUUGGAUUCUAAGUACAUUAAACUUUUAAAAUCGUUUUGCUGAACACUUAUGAUCAAAUAUAUAUUAAUUUUUCAUCACAUUAAUCUGUUAAGCUAGUUAAUUGUAAGUUUAUUUAAGUUCUAAGUUUCAAUAGGAUUUAGUUAUUAACUAAAAUAGAAUUUUAAAAACACAGUAUUCUGUUUUCAUCAUUUGAACGGGAAUAGUUCAUUUUAAAUCUGUUCUAUUACACAGUUUGCCUUUUUAUUCUAUGUAGUCCUAAUAUUAUUUAUAUAGACUUAAAAAACGCCAGCCUUUGAUAAAAUUAAAAAUAAUAUGUUCCCAUUAGGAACUUAUAAUUGUCAUUAUCAUUUAGAAACAUAUGUCGAUGAUAACCUUUUACUGAUUAAAUUAUACUGAAUAUUAAUAAUUUGUCAAAUGAAGGCUGAUAUAAGUACCUACAAUAUAUUAUAUUAUAUUAUAUUUGUGCACUGUUUACAGUUCAUGUUUCAUUUUUUUUACUUGUACGCUUACACUUACACUUACUUUUUGGACACGAUUUGCAUGUCUAUCUUAUAUAAUAAUAACCUUGUAUCCCUACCUAUACUUAUGCCAAAAAUUGCUAAAAAAAUUCAACUUAAAAAAAAUAGAUAAUUUUUGUUGUAUAUCAAAAGUAUAUAAGUAUUUAUCAAGUAUUGUAUAAUUAUUUUUUUUACAUUUUUACAAUUUUUUAUAUAUAUAUUUUUUUUAAUAUUUUAAACAAAUUGACAAUAUACAUUAAAUGGCAGCAUUGCACAGACAA